UCUUGGUCAUUUAGAGGAAGUAAAAGUCGUAACAAGGUCUCCGUUGGUGAACCAGCGGAGGGAUCAUUACCGAGUUUACAACUCCCAAACCCAAUGUGAACGUUACCAAACUGUUGCCUCGGCGGGGUCACGCCCCGGGUGCGUAAAAGCCCCGGAACCAGGCGCCCGCCGGAGGAACCAACCAAACUCUUUCUGUAGUCCCCUCGCGGACGUAUUUCUUACAGCUCUGAGCAAAAAUUCAAAAUGAAUCAAAACUUUCAACAACGGAUCUCUUGGUUCUGGCAUCGAUGAAGAACGCAGCGAAAUGCGAUAAGUAAUGUGAAUUGCAGAAUUCAGUGAAUCAUCGAAUCUUUGAACGCACAUUGCGCCCGCCAGUAUUCUGGCGGGCAUGCCUGUCCGAGCGUCAUUUCAACCCUCGAACCCCUCCGGGGGAUCGGCGUUGGGGAUCGGGACCCCUCACCGGGUGCCGGCCCUGAGAUACAGUGGCGGUCUCGCCGCAGCCUCUCCUGCGCAGUAGUUUGCACAACUCGCACCGGGAGCGCGGCGCGUCCACGUCCGUAAAACACCCAACUUCUGAAAUGUUGACCUCGGAUCAGGUAGGAAUACCCGCUGAACUUAAGCAUAUCAAUAAGCGGAGGA
Molecule: ribosomal RNA, 639 nt
Filed under: uncultured fungus
Lineage: Eukaryota; Fungi
Description: eukaryotic LSU rRNA
Rfam family: 5.8S ribosomal RNA (bases 253-406)
Source: RNAcentral